GAUGAACGCUGGCGGCGUGCCUAAUACAUGCAAGUCGAGCGAACAGACGAGGAGCUUGCUCCUUCGACGUUAGCGGCGGACGGGUGAGUAACACGUAGGUAACCUACCUAUAAGACUGGGAUAACUUCGGGAAACCGGAGCUAAUACCGGAUAAUAUUUCGAACCGCAUGGUUCGAUAGUGAAAGAUGGCUUUGCUAUCACUUAUUGAUGGACCUGCGCCGUAUUAGCUAGUUGGUAAGGUAACGGCUUACCAAGGCAACGAUACGUAGCCGACCUGAGAGGGUGAUCGGCCACACUGGAACUGAGACACGGUCCAGACUCCUACGGGAGGCAGCAGUAGGGAAUCUUCCGCAAUGGGCGAAAGCCUGACGGAGCAACGCCGCGCGAGUGAUGAAGGUCUUCGGAUCGUAAAACUCUGUUAUUAGGGAAGAACAAACGUGUAAGUAACUGUGCACGUCUUGACGGUACCUAAUCAGAAAGCCACGGCUAACUACGUG
Molecule: ribosomal RNA, 497 nt
Filed under: uncultured bacterium
Lineage: Bacteria
Description: partial 16S ribosomal RNA
Rfam family: Bacterial small subunit ribosomal RNA
Source: RNAcentral